GGCAAGAUGGCCGAGCGGUCUAAGGCGCUAGCUUCAGGUGCUAGUAGAGAAAUCUGCGUGGGUUCGAAUCCCACUCUUGUCA
The sequence is a transfer RNA, 82 nucleotides long. It matches the Rfam family "tRNA". Rfam says of the family: Transfer RNA (tRNA) molecules are approximately 80 nucleotides in length. Their secondary structure includes four short double-helical elements and three loops (D, anti-codon, and T loops). The record is from Rfam.